This 407-nucleotide ribosomal RNA is filed under the name uncultured bacterium. Its description in RNAcentral is "partial 16S ribosomal RNA". It matches the Rfam family "Bacterial small subunit ribosomal RNA", at positions 30 to 526 of the family's 1533-position model. The record is from RNAcentral.
AUUGAACGCUGGCGGCAGGCCUAACACAUGCAAGUCGAGCGGAGCGGCGGACGGGUGAGACAUGCCUAGGAAUCUGCCUGGUAGUGGGGGUUAACGUCCGGAAACGGGCUCUAAUACCGCAUUCUAUUAUCUUCGCCUAGGUCGGAUUAGCUAGUUGGUGGGGUAAAGGCCUACCAAGGCGACGAUCCGUAACUGGUCUGAGAGGAUGAUCAGUCACACUGGAACUGAGACACGGUCCAGACUCCUACGGGAGGCAGCAGUGGGGAAUAUUGGACAAUGGGCGAAAGCCUGAUCCAGCCAUGCCGCGUGUGUGAAGAAGGUCUUCGGAUUGUAAAGCACUUUAAGUUGGGAGGCGUUACCAACAGAAUAAGCACCGGCUAACUUCGUGCCAGCAGCCGCGGUAAUUC